UGGGGAAUAUUGCACAAUGGGCGCAAGCCUGAUGCAGCCAUGCCGCGUGUGUGAAGAAGGCCUUCGGGUUGUAAAGCACUUUCAGCGAGGAGGAAGGGUGGUGAGCUUAAUACGCUCAUCAAUUGACGUUACUCGCAGAAGAAGCACCGGCUAACUCCGUGCCAGCAGCCGCGGUAAUACGGAGGGUGCAAGCGUUAAUCGGAAUUACUGGGCGUAAAGCGCACGCAGGCGGUUUGUUAAGUCGGAUGUGAAAUCCCCGGGCUCAACCUGGGAACUGCAUUUGAAACUGGCGAAGCUAGAGUCUCGUAGAGGGGGGAUAGAAUUCCAGGUGUAGCGGUGAAAUGCGUAGAGAUCUGGAGGAAUACCGGUGGCGAAGCGGCCCCCUGGACGAAGACUGACGCUCAGGUGCGAAAAGCGUGGGGAGCAAAACAGGAUUAGAUACCCCUGGUAGUCC
This 454-nucleotide ribosomal RNA is filed under the name uncultured bacterium. RNAcentral describes it as "partial 16S ribosomal RNA". It matches the Rfam family "Bacterial small subunit ribosomal RNA", at positions 355 to 796 of the family's 1533-position model. The record is from RNAcentral.